AAGCAUGCACAAAAAUUAAAUUAAAUAUGACGCCCUACUUUUCUGCUCCUUCACGGGCGUAAUGUUAUGAUUAAUUUGAUGUGAUUAUGUUCACUUUGGCUACGAUAUUUGAUGCUGGAAUAAUUACCUCACAAUAAUUACUUUAUUUUAUGGAUCGUUUCAAAAUCAAACAAAACGUGUUAUCACAAAAUGAGACAUAUAAUAUUGCCAAUGUAUCGAAGAGGAUAACCAUAUUACAAAGAGACAUCUAGACUGAUUAUGAAAGAAGGAACUACAAAUAGUUAUCAACAUGUUUGGAAUUCAAUAUCGAAAUUUAUUGAUGAUCAGCCUUCUUGUUGAUACAAGCUGUUCAGGUUCCCGAACAAUUCCAAUUCAAACCGUUAGUGUAAAUGGAACAGCCCAUAUUCACUGGUCAAUGAAGUCAACC
This is a long non-coding RNA of Patella vulgata (common limpet), 427 nucleotides long. RefSeq lists it as uncharacterized. The transcript is spliced from 3 exons. NCBI's taxonomy places the organism in Eukaryota, Metazoa, Mollusca, Gastropoda, Patellidae. The record is from RefSeq and is a predicted model, not a curated record.